Molecule: ribosomal RNA, 475 nt
Filed under: uncultured bacterium
Lineage: Bacteria
Description: bacterial SSU rRNA
Rfam family: Bacterial small subunit ribosomal RNA
Source: RNAcentral
UGGCGGCAGGCUUAACACAUGCAAGUCGAGCGGUAGCAGAUCUAGCUUGCUAGAUGCUGACGAGCGGCGGACGGGUGAGUAACGCGUAGGAACCUGCCCAGUAGUGGGGGAUAGCCCGGGGAAACUCGGAUUAAUACCGCAUACGCUCUACGGAGGAAAGAGGGGGCUUCGGCUCUCGCUAUUGGAUGGACCUGCGUGAGAUUAGCUAGUUGGUGAGGUAAUGGCUCACCAAGGCGACGAUCUCUAGCUGGUCUGAGAGGAUGAUCAGCCACACUGGGACUGAGACACGGCCCAGACUCCUACGGGAGGCAGCAGUGGGGAAUAUUGCACAAUGGGCGCAAGCCUGAUGCAGCCAUGCCGCGUGUGUGAAGAAGGCUUUCGGGUUGUAAAGCACUUUCAGUGGGGAGGAAGGCCUCGUAGUUAAUAGCUGCGAGGAUUGACGUUACCCACAGAAGAAGCACCGGCUAACUCCGUG